UACGUAGGGUGCGAGCGUUAAUCGGAAUUACUGGGCGUAAAGCGUGCGUAGGCGGUUUUGUAAGACAGAUGUGAAAUCCCCGGGCUUAACCUGGGAACUGCACUUGUGACUGCACAGCUAGAGUACGGUAGAGGGGGAUGGAAUUCCGCGUGUAGCAGUGAAAUGCGUAGAUAUGCGGAGGAACACCAAUGGCGAAGGCAAUCCCCUGGGCCUGUACUGACGCUCAUGCACGAAAGCGUGGGGAGCAAACAGG
This 253-nucleotide ribosomal RNA is filed under the name uncultured bacterium. RNAcentral describes it as "partial 16S ribosomal RNA". It matches the Rfam family "Bacterial small subunit ribosomal RNA", at positions 524 to 776 of the family's 1533-position model. The record is from RNAcentral.